RNAcentral lists this ribosomal RNA (884 nucleotides) under uncultured bacterium. RNAcentral's name for it is "bacterial SSU rRNA". It matches the Rfam family "Bacterial small subunit ribosomal RNA", at positions 555 to 1454 of the family's 1533-position model. The record is from RNAcentral.
UGGGUUUAAGGGUGCGUAGGCGGCUUUUUAAGUCAGUGGUGAAAUCCUGCCGCUUAACGGUAGAAUUGCCAUUGAUACUGAAGAGCUUGAGUUCAGUUGAGGUAAGCGGAAUGUGUAGUGUAGCGGUGAAAUGCUUAGAUAUUACACAGAACACCAAUUGCGAAGGCAGCUUACUAAACUGACACUGACGCUGAUGCACGAAAGCGUGGGGAGCGAACAGGAUUAGAUACCCUGGUAGUCCACGCCGUAAACGAUGUUCACUCGCUGUUUGCGAUACACAGCAAGCGGCCAAGCGAAAGCAUUAAGUGAACCACCUGGGGAGUACGAUCGCAAGGUUGAAACUCAAAGGAAUUGACGGGGGCCCGCACAAGCGGAGGAACAUGUGGUUUAAUUCGAUGAUACGCGAGGAACCUUACCUGGGCUUAAAUGUAGAACGACAGAUUGUGAAAGCAGUCCUUCUUCGGACGUUUUACAAGGUGCUGCAUGGUUGUCGUCAGCUCGUGCCGUGAGGUGUCGGGUUAAGUCCCAUAACGAGCGCAACCCUUAUCGUUAGUUGCCAGCGGGUCAAGCCGGGGACUCUAGCGAGACUGCCACCGUAAGGUGUGAGGAAGGUGGGGAUGACGUCAAAUCAGCACGGCCCUUAUGUCCAGGGCUACACACGUGUUACAAUGGCCGGUACAAAGGGCAGCUACUUCGCGAGAAGAUGCUAAUCUCGAAAGCCGGUCUCAGUUCGGAUCGAAGUCUGCAACCCGACUUCGUGAAGCUGGAUUCGCUAGUAAUCGCAUAUCAGCCAUGAUGCGGUGAAUACGUUCCCGGGCCUUGUACACACCGCCCGUCAAACAAUGGAAGCUGGGGGUACCUGAAGUCUGUAACCGAAAGGAGCG